This 832-nucleotide long non-coding RNA is filed under the name Homo sapiens (human). RNAcentral describes it as "long non-coding RNA NONHSAT008352.2". Lineage: Eukaryota; Metazoa; Chordata; Mammalia; Primates; Hominidae. The record is from RNAcentral.
GUAAAGGGCAUGCUGGGAAGGCAAGAGCCAGAGCCGCCUCCCCAGAGCAUGCUGGGAGGAGGGGCACCAGAGCCGCCUCUCUAGAGCAUGCUGGGAGGAUGGGCACCAGAGCCGCCUCCCCAGAGCGUGCUGGGAGGAUGGGCACCAGAGCCGCCUCUCUAGAGCAUGCUGGGAGACGGACACCAGUACAUCUCCAAGGACUGCACUUCCCCCGACUCCCACCCCAUUCCCUCACCCACCCCCAACCCGGAGACUAGAGGAAAGUCUGUCCAAAGAUGACUGUGGAAUAGGGAAUGCCAUGGUUCUCUGCAGGUCCCCCACACUAUGGGGGGUUAAGUCAGCAAGUAGGGAAAACAGUCAAGACGAGGAGAUGGAGAAACAGAGAGGCAGGAGAGAAACAGGGGGCUGACAAAGAUGGAGGGGCCAUUGUGUUGCCGGAGGACGAGGGGCUGCUAGCCGGAGGCAUUGAUGUACAGCUGGCUUUUGAGGAUGUAGUCGAUGACCGGCUGGGACAGACCCUGCACUUGAUGGACCAGCUGGCACCACCCAGAUCAAUAAACUGGCUUAUUUGAAUUUGCGGCCCCCCACCCAGGAACUGACUCAGUGCAAGAAGACAGCUUCGACUCCCUGUGAUUUCAUCUCUGACCAAUCCGCACUCCUGGCUCACUGGCUUCCCCAACCCAUGAAGUUUUCCUUAAAAACUCUGCUCCCGAAAUGCUCAGGGAGACUGAUUUGAUAACAAUAAAACUCUGGUCUCCCGCACAGCCGGCUCUGCGUGAAUUACUCUUUCUCUAUUGCAAUUCCCCUGUCUUGAUGAAUCUGCUCUGUCUAG